GUAUAGGUUAAUAAGCCAUAUCUGUUUAUUGUCCAAUAACAUAUUUAAAAUAAUCCAUCUACCUUGAUGAUCUGUUUUGACAAUUUGCACAUUUGGAUCAAAAUGACUGUUAAUUAAAACCAUCACCCCCUUUAUAUUUCUCCCAUGGGCAAAGAAAUUCACUUUCCCCCUCCCAGUCCUUUUUCCACAAAACUUCAUCUAAAACUGUUGAAUGGGUUUCCUGUAAACAAUAGAUAUUAUAUUACUUCUCUUUUAGCCAGGUAAAUACUGAUUGUCUUUUCUUAUUAUCUGCUAAGCCAUUACAAUUGUACUGGCUAUACUUAUUUCACCACUUACCAUAAUGAGACAAAUUUCAAUUCUAUUUAUCAAAAUAUAUGUUUGUGAACGUACCAUUAAAAAGUAACAUGAUGAUUGAGUGUCUAUGUAGCUGUACCAUGAUAUUUGCAUUGCUACUAAGUAAACAUCCAAUUGGUCCCCACUAUUCCACCCGCUAAAAGCUCUCCUCAUCCCGAGUUGGGUUGUUAUCCCAAUGUCCAACAGACCACCCCCGACACCCCGUAUCCCAUAGCCCUGAAAAGACUGGGAUCCAUCCUUUGAAAAGAGCACACAGUGCCAUUUACAGAACAGAAGUAUAUCAACCGCCAAAUGCAUUUCCAUCACCCUCACCUCGAUUUGUAUUAUAUAUAGCAAUCAAAAAAAAAAAUACAAAAAAAAAUAUAUAUAUAUAUAUAUAUAUAUAUAUAAAAAAAAUCAUAUUUCUUAAUUUCCAUAAAUAGCUAUUCGUAUUUGUAGUAAUGUAGGCAAUUUAUGCAAAGGAUUUUACCUGUCACCAGUCUCGCCAUUACCAAAUUUACAUUAUUGCAAGCAAUUAUUAUAUUAGCAAACAAUUAUUGUGAAUCAUCCUAUAUUUUCCCUAACAUCUUUUACUUCUUCGCAACAGUUGUGGGAUACGCACAUACACACUCAACCCUUUCCCCCCACACAACCCUAGGCUCACAUUCUCAACAAUUGCCCCAUCCCAGAGCCCAACUCAAGAUAGGUCUUGAUUUACGAAUGCAUAUACAGUUGCAGCUGUAUGAGAAGGCCUGCAAGACCGUGCAGGCAAAUGUGCAGAAAUGUAGAGAUUUUAUUAACAAUUGCCACGUCCUAGAUGAUGGAGGUCAAAUGUACACCUUUUCCCUGAAACACCCACAACACGGUCCCCCGUACUGACCAUAAUCCCAAGCAUCUCCAUGCAGUCAGACUUUUGAUUUUGUGCCACCGGG
Oncorhynchus tshawytscha (Chinook salmon) is the source of this 1265-nucleotide long non-coding RNA. Lineage: Eukaryota; Metazoa; Chordata; Actinopteri; Salmoniformes; Salmonidae. The record is from Ensembl.